UUUUCCUACGGGAGGCAGCAGUGGGGAAUCUUAGACAAUGGGCGCAAGCCUGAUCUAGCCAUGCCGCGUGAGUGAUGAAGGCCUUAGGAUCGUAAAGCUCUUUCGCCAGGGAUGAUAAUGACAGUACCUGGUAAAGAAACCCCGGCUAACUCCGUCCCAGCAGCCGCGGUAAUACGGAGGGGGUUAGCGUUGUUCGGAAUUACUGGGCGUAAAGCGUACGUAGGCGGAUCAGAAAGUAUGGGGUGAAAUCCCAGGGCUCAACCUUGGAACUGCCUCAUAAACUCCUGGUCUUGAGUUCGAGAGAGGUGAGUGGAAUUCCAAGUGUAGAGGUGAAAUUUGUAGAUAUUUGGAGGAACACCAGUGGCGAAGGCGGCUCACUGGCUCGAUACUGACGCUGAGGUGCGAAAGUGGGGGGAGCAAACAGGAUUAGAUACCCUGGUAGUCCACUCCGUUCCUAUGAAUGCCAGUCGUCGGGCAGUAUACUGUUCGGUGACACACCUAACGGAUUAAGCA
Molecule: ribosomal RNA, 513 nt
Filed under: uncultured bacterium
Lineage: Bacteria
Description: bacterial SSU rRNA
Rfam family: Bacterial small subunit ribosomal RNA
Source: RNAcentral